GCACUAGUAGUUUAUAAAAAAUACUAUCUUUGUAAGUUAGAGAAGAUAUCCUAGUGUU
Molecule: transfer RNA, 58 nt
Filed under: Gyge ovalis
Lineage: Eukaryota; Metazoa; Arthropoda; Malacostraca; Isopoda; Bopyridae
Description: tRNA-Thr
Source: RNAcentral